GACGAACGCUGGCGGCGUGCUUAACACAUGCAAGUCGAGCGGUAAGGCCCUUUCGGGGGUACACGAGCGGCGAACGGGUGAGUAACACGUGGGUGACCUGCCCUCAGCUCUGGGAUAAGCCUGGGAAACCGGGUCUAAUACUGGAUAUGACUCCAUGGCGCAUGUUGUGGGGUGGAAAGCCUUGUGCGGCUGAGGAUGGGCCCGCGGCCUAUCAGCUUGUUGGUGGGGUGANGGCCUACCAAGGCGACGACGGGUAGCCGGCCUGAGAGGGCGACCGGCCACACUGGGACUGAGACACGGCCCAGACUCCUACGGGAGGCAGCAGUGGGGAAUCUUGCGCAAUGGGCGAAAGCCUGACGCAGCGACGCCGCGUGAGGGAUGACGGCCUCGGUUGUAAC
This 398-nucleotide ribosomal RNA is filed under the name uncultured bacterium. Its description in RNAcentral is "bacterial SSU rRNA". It matches the Rfam family "Bacterial small subunit ribosomal RNA", at positions 28 to 429 of the family's 1533-position model. The record is from RNAcentral.